GCCAGCGCGAGUAGUACCGAGGCGACAUGCCCAAGUAUCGCGUCCUGGAACACCAAGGACGCAACAUG
Molecule: regulatory RNA element, 68 nt
Organism: Nitrobacter sp. Nb-311A
Lineage: Bacteria; Pseudomonadati; Pseudomonadota; Alphaproteobacteria; Hyphomicrobiales; Nitrobacteraceae
Rfam family: chrB-a RNA
Source: Rfam